GGAAGUAUGGUUCAGUGGUGGAAUGCCUGCUUAGAAAAGGUGAGGCCCUGAAUUCAAACCCCAGUACUACCA
Molecule: transfer RNA, 72 nt
Filed under: Dipodomys ordii (Ord's kangaroo rat)
Lineage: Eukaryota; Metazoa; Chordata; Mammalia; Rodentia; Heteromyidae
Rfam family: tRNA
About the family: Transfer RNA (tRNA) molecules are approximately 80 nucleotides in length. Their secondary structure includes four short double-helical elements and three loops (D, anti-codon, and T loops).
Source: Rfam by way of RNAcentral